This 75-nucleotide transfer RNA is filed under the name Caudoviricetes sp. Its description in RNAcentral is "tRNA-Arg". The stretch from base 8 to 61 matches the Rfam family "tRNA", at positions 8 to 63 of the family's 71-position model. From Rfam's summary of the family: Transfer RNA (tRNA) molecules are approximately 80 nucleotides in length. Their secondary structure includes four short double-helical elements and three loops (D, anti-codon, and T loops). Lineage: Duplodnaviria; Heunggongvirae; Uroviricota; Caudoviricetes. The record is from RNAcentral.
GAACAUGUGGUGUAAUGGUAGCACACUCAGUUCCUAACUGAGAGGUAAGGUUCGAAUCCUAAGAGUAAGUGUUCU